RNAcentral lists this transfer RNA (74 nucleotides) under Trichonephila inaurata madagascariensis. It matches the Rfam family "tRNA". From Rfam's summary of the family: Transfer RNA (tRNA) molecules are approximately 80 nucleotides in length. Their secondary structure includes four short double-helical elements and three loops (D, anti-codon, and T loops). Further hydrogen bonds mediate the characteristic L-shaped molecular structure. tRNAs have two regions of fundamental functional importance: the anti-codon, which is responsible for specific mRNA codon recognition, and the 3' end, to which the tRNAs corresponding amino acid is attached (by aminoacyl-tRNA synthetases). tRNAs cope with the degeneracy of the genetic code in two manners: having more than one tRNA (with a specific anti-codon) for a particular amino acid; and 'wobble' base-pairing, i.e. permitting non-standard base-pairing at the 3rd anti-codon position. The record is from Rfam by way of RNAcentral. Lineage: Eukaryota; Metazoa; Arthropoda; Arachnida; Araneae; Nephilidae.
GUCCCUGUAGUGCAAUGGAUAGCACGUUGCACUUCUAAUCCAAAGGUCGUAGGUUUUUAAUCCCACCUGGGAUA